ACGAACGCUGGCGGCGUGCUUAACACAUGCAAGUCGAACGGAAAGGCCCUGCUUUUGUGGGGUGCUCGAGUGGCGAACGGGUGAGUAACAUGUGAGUAACCUGCCCUUGACUUUGGGAUAACUUCAGGAAACUGGGGCUAAUACCGGAUAGGAGCUCCUGCUGCAUGGUGGGGGUUGGAAAGUUUCGGCGGUUGGGGAUGGACUCGCGGCUUAUCAGCUUGUUGGUGGGGUAGUGGCUUACCAAGGCUUUGACGGGUAGCCGGCCUGAGAGGGUGACCGGCCACAUUGGGACUGAGAUACGGCCCAGACUCCUACGGGAGGCAGCAGUGGGGAAUAUUGCACAAUGGGCGGAAGCCUGAUGCAGCAACGCCGCGUGCGGGAUGACGGCCUUCGGGUUGUAAACCGCUUUCGCCUGUGACGAAGCGUGAGUGACGGUAAUGGGUAAAGAAGCACCGGCUAACUACGUG
RNAcentral lists this ribosomal RNA (467 nucleotides) under uncultured bacterium. RNAcentral describes it as "partial 16S ribosomal RNA". It matches the Rfam family "Bacterial small subunit ribosomal RNA", at positions 29 to 507 of the family's 1533-position model. The record is from RNAcentral.